GUUUAUCAAAAACAUCGCUCUUGCUUCUCCAGUAUAAGAGGUCCCGCCUGCCCAGUGACUAUAUGUUAAACGGCCGCGGUAUUCUGACCUCGCCUGUUUAUCAAAAACAUUUUCUUUAGAUAUAUUUUAAAGGUAAUACCUGCUCAAUGAGUAUUAAAUUGCCGCAGUAUUAUCGACUGUGCUAAGGUAGCAUAAUAAUUUGUCUUUUAAAUGGGGACUGGAAUGAAAGGUUUUAUGGGGGUAUGCUAAUGAUUUAAUAAAUCUUUGAAGUUAAGGUUUAAGUUAAAAUUCUUAAGUUUAUUUGAGGGACGAGAAGACCCUGUGGAUCUUUAUUUUGUUUAUAGUAAAUUAUUAUAAAUGUUUUAUUAUCUUAAAAAUUUGAUUGGGACGAUUAUUAUUUUAACAUAAUUUUAAGAAUUUAUUUUGAUCCUUUUGAAGGAAUUAAGAUUAAGUUACCCCAGGGAUAACAGCGUUAUAUUAUUGGAUAGUUCAUAUUGAUAAUAAUGUUUGCGACCUCGAUGUUGAAUUAAAAUUUCYUUUUAAAGCAGAAGUUAAAUUAGUAAGUCUGUUCGACUUUUAAAUUUUUACAUGAUCUGAGUUCCAACCGGAUGUUGGAUCAAGGGCAUCCUAGUGGUGCAGCCGCUACUAAUGGUUCGUUUGUUCAACGAUUAAAGCCCUACAUGAUCUGAGUUCAAACC
RNAcentral lists this ribosomal RNA (698 nucleotides) under Cyprididae sp. LACM RW17.085.3437. Its description in RNAcentral is "partial large subunit ribosomal RNA". It matches the Rfam family "Bacterial large subunit ribosomal RNA", at positions 1802 to 2617 of the family's 2925-position model. The record is from RNAcentral. Lineage: Eukaryota; Metazoa; Arthropoda; Ostracoda; Podocopida; Cyprididae.